Molecule: ribosomal RNA, 1155 nt
Filed under: Triticum aestivum (bread wheat)
Lineage: Eukaryota; Viridiplantae; Streptophyta; Magnoliopsida; Poales; Poaceae
Description: partial small subunit ribosomal RNA
Source: RNAcentral
AUGCUGUCCGCCGGCCGCCGCCGUCUCUGCCUCUUCCCCUUCCCCUUCCCUCUCCGCCACUUCACUGCGGCCGUUUCCACCACCACCACCACCACCUCCGACGCUGCCGCUGCCGACCCCACUGUGUUCUACCUCGAAUCCACCUGCGCGCUCUCCCCCGCCGCCGCCGCCCGCGCUGCGGACUCCAUCCGCCUCGCCUCCCUGGAGUCCACCGCGCAGGCCGACGCCGUCCUCGACCUCCUCCGCCGGUAUGGCUUCACCGACGCCGAGAUAUCCACCACCGUCCGCAAGUUCCCCAUCGUCCUGGUCUCCGACCCCGUCAAGACACUCCAGCCCAAGCUCGACUUCCUCGCCUCCGUCGGCAUCAACGCGCCGCUCCUCCCCAGGCUCGUCUCCCUCAGCCCCGUUGUCCUCCACCGGAGCAUCCAGGACCACCUCGCCCCGCUCUUCGAAUCUCUCCGCGAGCUCCUCGGCUCCAAUGCCCGCGUCGUCACCGCGCUCCGCCAGAUGCCGUUCGUUGUCCGCUGCAGCCCCAACAGUACCCUCAACCUCGUGCUCCCCGCACUAAGAGAUGUCCACGGCUUGCCCCCGGAGGACGUCUCCAAGCUCGUCGCCGUCCACCCUGGCGUCAUCAUGCAGGGCCCCCACCGCUUGGCCGAGAUCGUCCGGGCCGUCAAGGACGUCGGCAUGGAACCCGGUGAGCCCAUGUUCGUCAACACAUUUGCCAUCAUUUCCAAGAUGAAGACCCCCACACUGGAGAGGAAGUAUGCACUCUACCAGAGCCUUGGCUUCGAGAAGGACAAUGUUGCCUUAAUGUUGCGGCGGUGCCCACUCAUGAUGGCUAUCUCAGAGAAGAAGAUGAAGGAAAAUGUCGGAUUCUUGGUCGGAAAGGCGGGUCUGAGCCUGGAAGAUAUCGUGGCCAAUCCGAGCAUGCUGGUGCGGAGCUUGGAGAGCCAUCGCAGGAGGUGUGCGGUGCUCACACUGCUGAGGAAGGAAGGGAAGCCAGAGGGGAAUCAUCAGCUGCGCAAGGUCCUCGUGGCUAAAAUGAAACGGUUCUUGCAGGUGUAUGUGCAGCCACACCAAAACGAGAUCCCUGAUGUCGUCCGGGCUCUCAACGGAGAGAUCCCUUUCGAGGGCUUCAGUGUGUUGGAAUAG